AUGAACGCUGGCGGCGUGCCUAAUACAUGCAAGUCGAGCGAACGGACGAGAAGCUUGCUUCUCUGAUGUUAGCGGCGGACGGGUGAGUAACACGUGGAUAACCUACCUAUAAGACUGGGAUAACUUCGGGAAACCGGAACUAAUACCGGAUAAUAUUUUGAACCGCAUGGUUCAAAAGUGAAAGACGGUCUUGCUGUCACUUAUAGAUGGAUCCGCGCUGCAUUAGCUAGUUGGUAAGGUAACGGCUUACCAAGGCAACGAUGCAUAGCCGACCUGAGAGGGUGAUCGGCCACACUGGAACUGAGACACGGUCCAGACUCCUACGGGAGGCAGCAGUAGGGAAUCUUCCGCAAUGGGCGAAAGCCUGACGGAGCAACGCCGCGUGAGUGAUGAAGGUCUUCGGAUCGUAAAACUCUGUUAUUAGGGAAGAACAUAUGUGUAAGUAACUGUGCACAUCUUGACGGUACCUAAUCAGAAAGCCACGGCUAACUACGUG
Molecule: ribosomal RNA, 496 nt
Filed under: uncultured bacterium
Lineage: Bacteria
Description: partial 16S ribosomal RNA
Rfam family: Bacterial small subunit ribosomal RNA
Source: RNAcentral